GGCGGGGGCGCCGGGGCGGGGGGCGGCGGCGAGGCCCGGCGGCACAGGACGCCGCCCCGCCGCCGGAGGAGGGAGCAGGCAGCAGGCAGGAGGCGGAGCUCCGCCGCUCGGCCCCAGUGAUUUUCAAAUUGAAAACAAUGGGUAGAAAAGAUGCCUCUACAGCAAGGACUCCUGUUGACCAAUACAGGAAACAAAUAGCAGGAAAUUCUUCUGCCCAGGCUCUGCCUUCAGCAGGAUCCUCCUGGGACCAGGCUGGACCACUGGAGGACCAGUGAGAAGACCAAACUAGCACUGGCUGCUUGAAGACUCCCCAAGUGAGGAAGCGGACGGCAGCAGCAGCCUUUUCAAACUGACUUGGACAGUGUCCUGGAGAAGGAGG
This 379-nucleotide long non-coding RNA is filed under the name Anas platyrhynchos (mallard). RNAcentral's name for it is "lncRNA (ENSAPLG00020006264.1)". Lineage: Eukaryota; Metazoa; Chordata; Aves; Anseriformes; Anatidae. The record is from RNAcentral.